GUCGAACGGCAGCACAGCCGGGUAACCGGUGGGUGGCGAGUGGCGGACGGGUGAGUAACACGUAGGAAUCUGCCUGGUAAUGGGGGAUAACCCGGGGAAACUCGGGCUAAUACCGCAUACGCUCUAAGGAGGAAAGCGGGGGACCUUCGGGCCUCGCGUUAUCAGAUGAGCCUGCGUCCGAUUAGCUAGUUGGCGGGGUAAGGGCCCACCAAGGCGACGAUCGGUAGCUGGUCUGAGAGGACGAUCAGCCACACUGGAACUGAGACACGGUCCAGACUCCUACGGGAGGCAGCAGUGGGGAAUAUUGGACAAUGGGCGCAAGCCUGAUCCAGCAAUGCCGCGUGUGUGAAGAAGGCCUGCGGGUUGUAAAGCACUUUAAGCGGGAAAGAAGGCUUCAAGGCUAAUACCCUUGGAGAUUGACGUUACCCGCAAAUAAGCACCGGCUAACUCCGUGCCAGCAGCCGCGGUAAUACGGAGGGUGCGAGCGUUAAUCGGAAUUACUGGGCGUAAAGCGCGCGUAGGCGGUCGAUUAAGUCAGCCGUGAAAGCCCCGGGCUUAACCUGGGAACUGCGGUUGAUACUGGUUGGCUAGAGUGUGGCAGAGGGUGGCGGAAUUUCCGGUGUAGCAGUGAAAUGCGUAGAGAUCGGAAGGAACACCAGUGGCGAAGGCGGCCAUCUGGGCCAACACUGACGCUGAGGUGCGAAAGCGUGGGGAGCAAACAGGAUUAGAUACCCCUGGUAGUCCACGCGGU
RNAcentral lists this ribosomal RNA (751 nucleotides) under uncultured bacterium. RNAcentral's name for it is "bacterial SSU rRNA". It matches the Rfam family "Bacterial small subunit ribosomal RNA", at positions 61 to 803 of the family's 1533-position model. The record is from RNAcentral.